Callorhinchus milii (elephant shark) is the source of this 1004-nucleotide long non-coding RNA. RefSeq lists it as uncharacterized. The record is from RefSeq and is a predicted model, not a curated record. Lineage: Eukaryota; Metazoa; Chordata; Chondrichthyes; Chimaeriformes; Callorhinchidae. The transcript has 3 exons.
GUGAAACAUUUUUUUCUAACCUCCCUUCUGUUUCUUUUAACAACUAACUUAAAUCGGGUCCUCGGGAGGUGGGAAAAGAAACUAUUAGCAGAGACAUAGUUGGUUAAGCAGGACUUGAACCAGGUGAUUGCAGUCCCACUGACAUGCAGUGGAGAGGUCUAGGAGGACAAGGUGGCAGAGAGACAGGAUGCCUGUUGUGACUUUGAUGAGCAUUGUCUCUGUGUUGUGGAUAGUGCGGAAGCCAGAUUAGAGGGGGAAUAACUUGGUUACUCAAUAACUUGAACUUGUAUAGCCUUGCACAUAGGAAAAUAUCUUAAAGAACUUCCCAGAAUGUGUGUGGGAGUCAGAGGCUAGGGGCUAAGCAGGCGGUGACAGAAGGCACAUUUAAAGAGAUAGGUUUGUAGCUGGAUUUUGAAAGCAUUGUGGAGAGAUGUUAGAUGGAGGGAUUUAGGGCGAGGGCUCCAGAGGCAGAAAGAAUAUAUCUCCCACCGAUUGUUGGGGGGGAAGAAUUGGGGAAUGUGGAGCAGGCCUAUGUUAGCAGAGUAGAGGGAGCGGGCUACAGGAGAUCACAGAGGUAAGGUGGGGCAAGCUUGGGUGGAAGGGUAUUUGAGAUUAGAAUGAGGAUCUGCCAGUGGAGCUUGGGGAGAAUGGGGUGAGGGGCUCACAGAGCAUGGAGUAAAGAGAAUGCAAGCUUCAGAGCUUGGGAUGAUUUGGAACUUGAAAGCUGGCAUGGGAGGUCAGGUCUGGAUGUGAUGGAUGAUGGUUUCGGCUGCAUUGGGAGUGAGAUAGGAACAGAGGAAUGGCCUUCUGCUAAGGAGAAUUUGGAAAAACACUUUGGAGAUACGUUUUAGUUGCCAUCCAUCACGUGGACAUCUUGCAGUCUGAACAUUGCUGGACAUUCAUGUGAAAACUGUUCCGAUCUACUGGUAAAUGAAGCACUAAACGGUUCACUUACAAAACUGAACACCGAAUCCACAAACGAUAAGCUGUUCGCCAUGACUAAG